RNAcentral lists this transfer RNA (72 nucleotides) under Chloroflexota bacterium. RNAcentral describes it as "Chloroflexi bacterium (hydrothermal vent metagenome) tRNA-Phe". It matches the Rfam family "tRNA". Rfam says of the family: Transfer RNA (tRNA) molecules are approximately 80 nucleotides in length. Their secondary structure includes four short double-helical elements and three loops (D, anti-codon, and T loops). Lineage: Bacteria; Bacillati; Chloroflexota. The record is from RNAcentral.
GCCGAGGUAGCUCAGUUGGUAGAGCAGCGGACUGAAAAUCCGCGUGUCGCCGGUUCGAUUCCGGCCUUCGGC